Molecule: long non-coding RNA, 6585 nt
Filed under: Sus scrofa (pig)
Lineage: Eukaryota; Metazoa; Chordata; Mammalia; Artiodactyla; Suidae
Description: lncRNA (ENSSSCG00040039027.1)
Source: RNAcentral
GCUGCUAUCUGAGAAUGUUCUUCCUAUGCUAGAGGGUGGAGCACAAGAACUGGCAGAAAUUCAUGAUGCCGCAGGAAACUUAGACAUGACAAGCAUGAUUCCACUGACGGCAGCCUGUCACAUAGCCAAGCCCAACAUCAGGGAUGUAUUAUUAUCUUACUGGAGAGCAAUGCUUUGUACCGUGCGUUUUUCACUUAACAACAUGGCCCAGAGAUCUACACACUUCUUAAAUACCUACAAGAUACUUCAUCUGGUGGAUAUCCUGUGGCUUAUUUAACCAUCCUUCAAAUGAUGGACAUUUGGGCCGUUUCCAGUCUUUUACAAUGUCGAACAAUGUUGAGAUGAAUAACCUCGCCCAUAUGUCAUUUCCUAUGUGCCCAGGUGUAUAGUAGGAUAAAAGCUAAGGCACCCUAAGAAAAAGAUCCAGAUGUGUAAUGACUUAAGAUUAUUUCCCUUAGGUAAUGCUCCUAAGGUAGUAGGGGGUAUGGGGAGUCCAGUAUGAUGAUGGGUUUUUUCCUGGGACCAUUCAAGCUUAUCUAGGUCCAUUUGGGUGGCUGUAACAUGCUACCAUAGACUGGGUGGCUUGAAAAACAAAGACUUAUUUCUCACAGUUCUAACGGCUGAGAAGUUCAAGAUCAGGCACAGGCAGAUUCAUUGUUUGGUGAGAACCCAUUUCCUGGUUCAUAGACAGCUGUUGUCUCGUGUGUGGCAGAGGUGGCAAGAGUGCUCUCCGGGUCCCCUUUUGUAAUAGCACUAGUUCCAUUCAUGAAGGUUCCACCCUUCUGACCUAAUCACCCCUCAGUUACUGACCUCAUAAUACUAUCCUACCUUAUGAUACCAUCACAUUGGAGGUUAGGAUUUCAACAUAUAGAUUUUGAAGGGACACAAAUGGUGCAUAACAGUUGGCUAGGUUCCUUCCAUCUCGUUCCCUGACUUUUCUCAAGAUCUUAGUCUACAUGAUUGAAACCGGAUCAUGGACACAUCCUUCUUUCAGGUCACAGAAGGAAAAGAGUGGUCAUGGAGAAACACACGCCCAACAUGUGAGGAUCAAGAGCAAGAAGUGGUAAAUGUCUCCUCCCAUCAUGUUCCACUGGCCAAGAAUUAGUGACAUAGCUACCGCUAGGUGCAAAAGAGGAUGGGAAAUGUAAUGUCAGGCUGGGCAGCCGUGUGCCAGCCACAAUGCUGUCAUCAGGAUAGCUGGCAAGAAUAGACAUAUCUGCAAGGUAAAUUUCUAGGAAGAGAGUGGCUGAGUCAAAGAAUAAAUAUAUUUGCAAUUUUUGGAAGGUAGUACUAAGUUGUUACUCCAACUAAAUGUUGAAUCAUUUAGUAUGCCCACCAGUAUUGUGGGAAAUUCUCUCUUGUCUUCCCAGGCAUGACAAAAGAGUGUGUGGUCAAACUUGGGUUUUGCUUUUUUUUUUUUAACCAAUUUAAAUAUAAAAGAUGGUUUAGUUUUGAUUGAAUUUAUCUUAUUUUGAGUGAGAUUAAGAAUCAUUUCAUAUGUUUAAGUGUGAUUUGUAUUUCCUUUUUGAAGAAUUAUUGGUUUUGAUCUCUUACCUAUUUUUUCUUUUGGGUUGUUAGUUAUUUUUCUGUGAUAGGAUUUGCAAACAUUCCCACCCCCAGCCCCCACUUGUCAUUUGUCCUCUGACUUUUCAUAGGAUUGUGUGUAUGUGUUAUCUUUUUAUCAUGAUCAGAACCCCCCCCCCGCCCCCUCUCCCCUGACUCUAGUGUCUGAAGUCAUUUUUGAUUAUCACAACCAGGGUUGCUGUUAUAUAUCCUACAAUAANCAGGAAAGAAUCCAGCAAGAAGGAAUUAUCCAGCCCAAAAUGUUAAUAGUGCUGAGGUGGAGAAACCUUGGCUUAAAGGAAUCAGCUCAUGUUUUUCGGUGGUAAUUUAGAACAUUUCAUGUUUUACUUUUAAAUCUUUGAUUCAUUUUGAAUUCAUCCUGGUCAACUGUAUAAAUUAUGUGUAGAAGUUUAUCUUUUCCAGAUGAAUUCUCAUCCAUUAUUACUCCAUGUUAUCUAUUGUUAUGUAUCAAAAUGCCCAAAAUUUACCAGAUUGAAACACAAAUGUUACAUAGUUUCUGAGUGUCAAUCAGAAAUAUAAGAGUGACUUUCCUGAGUGGCUCUGGCUCCAGUUUGCUCAUAAAGUUAGAGUUAAGCUAUUGGAGAGGAAUGCUGUCAUUUGGAAGCUCAAAGAUUUGCUUCCAAGAUCAUUCCCUUGGUUGUUGGCAGGCUUUAGUUUCUCAAUGGCUGUGGUUGGAGGCCCCUGCUCCUCACCAUGUGGUCCUCUCUGUAGGGUAUGUGAGUGUCCUCAUGAUAUGGCAUCUGGCUUCCCCAGAGUGAUUUAAGACAGAAAAAGAGCACCCAAGACAAACUCUGGAGGUUUUUCAUUUUAUUUUUUAAUAGCAAAAUCUUCAAAGUUACUUGCGAUUGCUUAGGCAAAUUUCUCUUCAUUAGAAGUGAGUGAUUCAGACCAACCCUCCGUCAAGGGCAGGAAAGUUAAAACUCCAGUUCUUGAAAGGAAGAGUAUCAAUUUGUGGACAUAUUUUUAAACACACCAUACUUUGCUUAUUUAGUAUGCCUCCUUUAUCAUAUACUUAAUUGCCAUGGGGAUUGGGCUAAUUUCUAUAAUCAAUGUGCAUUGCUUCUGACAAAUUUUUACAAGAUAAUUUUAAAAAUCAUGCCUCUGUCUGUGAUUUGUAUUAUGGGACUUGUUCAUAUUCACAAAUUAUUUUAUGUACUUCUACUAGCCUGGUGGCUUAAAUGAGAUUUUGGAUGUGGGAAAAUGCUUUGCAGACUCUAAGGAAGCAAGCUACCAAAUGUUUUAUGAUUAUUAUUUUUGUAUGGAGAUAUAGCUAAAAACCCUCUAUAUCAUAUUUCCCAUUUGAUUUGUUGCAAUUGGUCCUUGGAUCCAAGUUGGAAUGUAGGUUGUGGGCCAGUUGUGGAAUUUUCCAUCAUAACAUUUCCUGUGGAUACAAACUGAACUGAGACCCAACCCAGGAAACAAACAUACAAUAUGUCAGGUAGUUGAUAAUCACUGAGUCUUAUCUGCCACUUCUGGGGGUGUUGGUUUAUCUUUUAUGUUGCUUUUUGGCAAUUCCAGUUAUUUCAGGUGUGUAUAAAGAUAUGUGGCUGUGUUUGGAUAUGAAGAGAGGAACGUGGGACCCUCACAUGAUAAAACAGUAGCAGGGCUUGUUGAGGCUCUGUUGUGUGAUCUGAGAUGUGCUGUAAUGAGCCACACCAUCCAUGUUUCUCUGGUAAACUUCUACCUGUAGAGUCCUUCCUUGGUUCUUGCAGAACUACUUCUUCUUUUUUUUUAAUUGCAUAGGUCUUUUUAGAUAUAAGUAAUCCUGAGGCAGGUAAUAUUUCAAUCCCACUGAUAACUGAAGCUCAGUUGUAGGGGAGAAGCAAGACAAAAGAACAGAUAAAAACUUAAGAGAUGGGCAAGGAACCAAGCAAGGAGGAAACAGAGAUUGAGACAGAAAGAGAGGCUUUUUCUGUCAUAGACAUUCAUUGUAAUUAUUCACAUAGUUGGCUUUUUACAAUAUGAAAUUUCCAAUUGGCAGUCCAUGUCCUGGAUCCAACCCACAGACAUGCUUUGUGUGACCAAAAAUAUGUUUUUUAAAUAUUUGGGGAUUUUCUUAAAAAUUGCUGGCUUUCCUUGAAAGAACUUGACUGUCUCAUAAUGCUGGACCUGCCUGACAGCAGUCACCCAGCCUGUGACCUUUAACCUUUAGCUGGGGUGAGAACCAUCCAGUCUCCACCAGUACUUUAUGCCUCCCCAUUAGCAAGCUCACAUAGUAGUUACUAUUUGUCAUCUUACAUGCACUGUGGUUAUUCAUGUAGUGGGAAAAUUUGUGUGUGUGUGUGUGUGUGUGUGUGUGUGUGUGUGUGUGUACUUAAGAGGCUAAUAAAAGUGAGACAGAAAAGACAGACUGAAAGGACCACAUGUUUUAACAAAAUGACUGGCAGCUUCAGGGUGGGCAUCUGCCCAGUGGGCAUGUGAGUGUGCCUCUGCCAUCCCAAGAUUCACCAGUGUUAGAGCUGUCUGAUAGCCUGUGUGCCUGUGUGUUCCUCUUUCAACAUCAUGGGCUGCUGACUGUGGUAGUAGUUUCUUCAGUGGCUGAUGGCCUGCACCGCCUUUCCUUGGAAUGCUUAUCAUGCUGCACCUUGCUGCUCUCAGGAAGAUCCAUACAUGAGAUUGUGUUUAAAUGGUAGUGACAGUUUGUACCAAAUGAGCUACAUUCUCCCUUGGUCCAUUGCAGCUGACCCAUCAAAGGAGACAGCCCUUGGAGUACAGAGAGAGGUUUUCCACGUGCUGUUCUUGGUAGCAUAUAGCUCCAGGGGCCUCAUCCAAUUCAGAUGCCAACACUGGACCCUUUAUGUCCACACCUCUUUAUAAGUUUCCUAGCCCCGACUUUUUUAUUAAGGAUGCUCUGGGAGACAAGGGUUCGGAAAUGUAUUUGUAGGAACUUCUUUAGCAGAGCACGUCCUGAAGCACAUUUAUAGCAAUACCUACCCCCUUGGCAGAGGACUCAAAAGAGUGGUUGCCCUCCCUCUAGUCCUGCUCAGCUGCCAGGGAGGGACACAAUUAGGAAAUGACCUGCUCAAGUUAGAGAAUGACCAAUAACUCCCUGAGGGACAGCAAAGGCAUCCCAGGUUUUUCAUGUGUGAAGAAGGAGGCUCACUUCUCUAUUUGCCUGCCCAGAAUCUGACCCACCGUUCCUGGGUUUGAGCAUGUCAAGAUUUCCACAUAGCCUCAGUUUUUCAACAAAAGCACAUAUGUGCUGUUUAUGUGGCUACUUAUGGCUUCUCUACCCUGAGUAGAAGAUAGAGAUCAGGAUAGUAACAACAACAACAAAAAUCAUGAGUGAGAACAGUUAAAAUAAUCCUAAAGGUUAUUUAAGCCACACAUGACAGAGAUGAUGCUGGAGGCAGUUUCUGUUUUGCGUUCUAUUUUCUUUUUGUUUUUAUCUUCUACAUCCUCUAGGAUUCAGCUGCAUGUUAUAGAAACUCAAUAACAUCAGCUUUACCAAAUAGAAAUUUAUUUUUCUCCUUAGCGAGAGGUCUCAUCAAUACCCAAUGCCCUGUCUUUCUGCUCUCCUAGCUUUAGCAUUAGCAUGCAGCUUUCAUUCUUUUUUUUUUUUUUUUUAAUUUCAUUUUAUGGCUGCACCUGGGUAUAUGGAAGUUCCUGGGCCAGGGGUCAAAUUGGAGCUGCAGCUGUGGCCUACAGUGCAGCAUGUGGUGAUACUGGAUCCUUAACCCAGUAAGUGAGGCCAGGGAUCGAACAUACAUCCUCUUAGAGACAAUGUCAGGUCCUAACCUGCUGAGCCACAACAGGAACUCCCAGCUUUCAUUCUUGUGCUUGUUGCCUCAUGGUCACAAGAAGGCUGCUCCAUCUUCAGCCUUCUUUCUGCAUUCUAGGCAAGAAGAAAAAGCAAGAAGGAAAAAGUAAAGGCAGUACUUGUACUGGUAAAGCAAAAAGUUUCCCAGAAAUCCCUAAAGAAGUUUUCUUACACGUCACCGGUCAUGGCUAUGUCGGUAGAGCCAUCCCUCAGAAAAAGGAAAUCUGACAGAGUAUUUUAACUAAGUGCAUUUCUGCCCUCCUUUCUCCCAUCACCACCUUUGUUAUUUAAAUAAGGAAGGAAUAAGAGGAUAAUGGACAUGCAACUAGCAGUAUCUUGCCAACUCUUAUUAAUUUCAGACAAGCAUAUUAACAUAUUUUGGAAAUAAUUUUCCCAUUUUUCUUCACUCAAUUUCCUACUAUCUAAUGCCUCCUUUGAAAGAGGAGAAUCAGUGCUCCGUGGAGGUAUUCAAACAGAGGAUUUCAGGUGCUUACAACAGUGUGGGAGGUCUAAUAGCUAAGUCUGAAACACUUGGGGAUCUGGGCAUUCCCUGAGCCUCAUGGCAGCAUCCAUACAGAUGAACGUGGAGUAAAGCUGUGUAAAUGUUGUCCACCAGGCACUCUUCUCAGCCUAUGAAAAAUCUUGAAUUUUCUCUGUGCUAAUUUCCCAGUUUUCAUUCUCCCAGAUGUUUCUCUCACCUUCUCUGCAGAUCAGUCAAAGGCUGGGUUGUAUUUUUUUAUUAUUAUUAUUAGUAUUGGACUUUGGGAUAUAGCCUGCCACAGUGUGCAAACACAAGCAAAGCAAAUACAUGACAACAUGAAUAAAUUCAUUUAAAGUAAACUUCAGUUUUAUAAUUACUUUCUUGGCUAUUCAGUGCAGUUUCUUCUCAGGCAGCACAAACAGUCAUGACUGUUUGUCAUUAUUGCUCAUGCCAUUAAUAUUAACAAAAAUAGCAUUUGUCGAAGACCUUCAGCAUGUCAUAGCUCUGUAACGAACAGAGCUGGGACCCUGAUGAUAGGCUUCUACUCGAAAACAAAUGUGCAGGAGUUCGCAUUGUGGCUCAGCUGGUUAAGAACCCAACAUGGUGUCUGUGAGGAUGGAGGUUUGAUCCCUGGCCUUGCUCAGUGGGUUAAGGAUCCAGGGUUGCUGUGGCUGUGGCAUAGGCAAGCAGCUGCAACUCCAAUUCAACCCUUAACCGGGGAAUCUUCAUAUGCCACAGGCAUGGCCCCAAAAAAGAAAAA